UUGAUUUACUUUCUUUAAUUAUAUUCAGCAUUGAGAAAUAAUUUCUUGAAUUUCACUGAUUUGAUCCCUUCCAGCUGCAGUGCCUAGGUCUUGACUUCUGUAUACAUCCAAGGUCCCAAUCUUGUUAAUUAUGUGUUUUUGCACCAUUUGC
Molecule: long non-coding RNA, 151 nt
Organism: Octopus sinensis (East Asian common octopus)
Lineage: Eukaryota; Metazoa; Mollusca; Cephalopoda; Octopoda; Octopodidae
Exons: 3
Source: RefSeq, a predicted model, not a curated record